This is a long non-coding RNA of Helianthus annuus (common sunflower), 385 nucleotides long. RefSeq lists it as uncharacterized. The record is from RefSeq and is a predicted model, not a curated record. NCBI's taxonomy places the organism in Eukaryota, Viridiplantae, Streptophyta, Magnoliopsida, Asterales, Asteraceae. The transcript is spliced from 3 exons.
CAAAAAGGGCUCCUUCAAGCUAGCCCUAAUUCACACAAAUCAGUCAAUUUCAAGGCAAAGAUCAAACAUUUAACUUAAACCAAGCUGAAUUUAGUGAUCACCCAAGUGAAGGGAUCACAAGGCAAGGGGAUUGAAUCUUCAAGCAGACAAGUCGGAGCGGACGCGCGCUUGAAGGAGAAGCUUUAAAGGUGAACAUAGUAAGCCUCUGGAUGAAGAUCAAGCAAUGAACAAGAACCGAACACAUGUCCGAAUAAAGCUUUCGCGUUGAUCUUAUUUUGUUUUUGUUAUAAGUGAACUAUGUAAACACUUGGUACUAUAUUUUUAAUGUUUUAAAAACGUAGGAAUGUUGGCACGACAAAGUUUUUGUAAAGUCGCAUUUUAAUAU